This 253-nucleotide ribosomal RNA is filed under the name uncultured bacterium. Its description in RNAcentral is "partial 16S ribosomal RNA". It matches the Rfam family "Bacterial small subunit ribosomal RNA", at positions 524 to 776 of the family's 1533-position model. The record is from RNAcentral.
UACGGAGGAGGCAAGCGUUAUCCGGAAUUAUUGGGCGUAAAGCGUCCGUAGGUGGUUUAGUAAGUCUGCUGUUAAAGCGCGGGGCUUAACUCCGUAUCGGCAGUGGAAACUACUAGACUAGAGUGUGGUAGGGGUAGAGGGAAUUCCCAGUGUAGCGGUGAAAUGCGUAAAUAUUGGGAAGAACACCGGUGGCGAAGGCGCUCUACUGGGCCAUAACUGACACUGAUGGACGAAAGCUAGGGGAGCGAAAGGG